UACAGAGGGUGCAAGCGUUGUUCGGAAUUAUUGGGCGUAAAGAGCGUGUAGGCGGCCCGGUAAGUCCGCUGUGAAAGUCGGGGGCUCAACCCUCGAAUGCCGGUGGAUACUGUCGGGCUAGAGUGCGGAAGAGGCGAGUGGAAUUCCUGGUGUAGCGGUGGAAUGCGCAGAUAUCGGGAGGAACACCAAUUGCGAAGGCAGCUCGCUGGGACGUCACUGACGCUGAGACGCGAAAGCGUGGGGAGCAAACAGG
This 253-nucleotide ribosomal RNA is filed under the name uncultured bacterium. RNAcentral's name for it is "partial 16S ribosomal RNA". It matches the Rfam family "Bacterial small subunit ribosomal RNA", at positions 524 to 776 of the family's 1533-position model. The record is from RNAcentral.